This 1068-nucleotide ribosomal RNA is filed under the name Botryosphaeria dothidea. RNAcentral's name for it is "SSU rRNA". It matches the Rfam family "Eukaryotic small subunit ribosomal RNA", at positions 51 to 1132 of the family's 1831-position model. Lineage: Eukaryota; Fungi; Ascomycota; Dothideomycetes; Botryosphaeriales; Botryosphaeriaceae. The record is from RNAcentral.
ACUGACUGUCUAGUAUAAGCAUCUAUACUGUGAAACUGCGAAUGGCUCAUUAAAUCAGUUAUCGUUUAUUUGAUAGUACCUUACUACUUGGAUAACCGUGGUAAUUCUAGAGCUAAUACAUGCUAAAAACCCCGACUUCGGGAGGGGUGUAUUUAUUAGAUAAAAAACCAAUGCCCUUCGGGGCUCUUUGGUGAUUCAUGAUAACUUAACGAAUCGCAUGGCCUUGCGCCGGCGAUGGUUCAUUCAAAUUUCUGCCCUAUUAACUUUCGAUGGUAGGAUAGAGGCCUACCAUGGUAUCAAUGGGUAACGGGGAAUUAGGGUUCUAUUCCGGAGAGGGAGCCUGAGAAACGGCUACCACAUCCAAGGAAGGCAGCAGGCGCGCAAAUUACCCAAUCCCGACACGGGGAGGUAGUGACAAUAAAUACUGAUACAGGGCUCUUUUGGGUCUUGUAAUUGGAAUGAGUACAAUUUAAAUACCUUAACGAGGAACAAUUGGAGGGCAAGUCUGGUGCCAGCAGCCGCGGUAAUUCCAGCUCCAAUAGCGUAUAUUAAAGUUGUUGCAGUUAAAAAGCUCGUAGUUGAACCUUGGGCCUGGCUGGCCGGUCCGCCUCACCGCGUGUACUGGUCCGGCCGGGCCUUUCCUUCUGGGGAUCCGCAUGGCCUUCACUGGCUGUGUCGGGGAACCAGGACUUUUACUUUGAAAAAAUUAGAGUGUUCAAAGCAGGCCUUUGCUCGAAUACAUUAGCAUGGAAUAAUAGAAUAGGACGUGCGGUCCUAUUUUGUUGGUUUCUAGGACCGCCGUAAUGAUUAAUAGGGAUAGUCGGGGGCAUCAGUAUUCAAUUGUCAGAGGUGAAAUUCUUGGAUUUAUUGAAGACUAACUACUGCGAAAGCAUUUGCCAAGGAUGUUUUCAUUAAUCAGUGAACGAAAGUUAGGGGAUCGAAGACGAUCAGAUACCGUCGUAGUCUUAACCGUAAACUAUGCCGACUAGGGAUCGGGCGAUGUUAUUCUUUUGACUCGCUCGGCACCUUACGAGAAAUCAAAGUCUUUGGGUCUGGGGGAGUAGUCGC